GCGGGCGUGGUGGAAUUGGUAGACACGACAGACUUAGGAUCUGUUGGCGCUAGCCGUGGGGGUUCAAGUCCCUCCGCCCGCACCA
Molecule: transfer RNA, 85 nt
Filed under: Hyphomicrobiaceae bacterium
Lineage: Bacteria; Pseudomonadati; Pseudomonadota; Alphaproteobacteria; Hyphomicrobiales; Hyphomicrobiaceae
Description: tRNA-Leu
Rfam family: tRNA
About the family: Transfer RNA (tRNA) molecules are approximately 80 nucleotides in length. Their secondary structure includes four short double-helical elements and three loops (D, anti-codon, and T loops).
Source: RNAcentral